Molecule: non-coding RNA, 113 nt
Organism: Mycena crocata
Lineage: Eukaryota; Fungi; Basidiomycota; Agaricomycetes; Agaricales; Mycenaceae
Source: the annotation of a GenBank genome assembly
GACACUUUGGCCGAGUGGUUAAGGCGAUGCCCUGCUAAUAAUGUUCCAUGACGUCUUUGGCUGACGUAAGGCAUUGGGUUCUACCCGCGUGUGUUCGAAUCGCACAGGUGUCG